GACAGAGUCCCCGCCACUGAGAAGCAACUGCAAAACAACUGCAAAACAAGUUCGUGUGCUUCGUGAAGAGUGAGCACCAAACGGAUGGGGCGGAUUCCAGGCACUGAUGAGGACAUGUUUUCCAGUGGGCAGGGCCACUGUGCCUACAGUUCUCUCCUACCUGAGCCCCACAUGGGUGAAGAGGCUGAGGAUCAGAACCCCUUGAUGACUACGUCACCAUGAUGCAAUUAUCCCUCUGGCUUAGUGGUACUCGGUGGCAAUAUUUGGGCUUUUAAAGACUGUGGUGAGGGGGCUGGGGUUGUGGCUCAGCGGUAGAGCGCUUGCUUCACACAUGCAAGGCCCCUGGGUUCGAUCCUCAGCAC
Molecule: long non-coding RNA, 362 nt
Filed under: Ictidomys tridecemlineatus (thirteen-lined ground squirrel)
Lineage: Eukaryota; Metazoa; Chordata; Mammalia; Rodentia; Sciuridae
Description: lncRNA (ENSSTOG00000030821.1)
Rfam family: tRNA (bases 295-362)
Source: RNAcentral